Molecule: ribosomal RNA, 433 nt
Filed under: uncultured bacterium
Lineage: Bacteria
Description: partial 16S ribosomal RNA
Rfam family: Bacterial small subunit ribosomal RNA
Source: RNAcentral
AACGAACGCUGGCGGCAUGCCUAACACAUGCAAGUCGAACGAGACCUUCGGGUCUAGUGGCGCACGGGUGCGUAACGCGUGGGAAUCUGCCCUUCGGUUUGGAAUAACUGAGAGAAAUUUCAGCUAAUACCUUAUAAUGUCUUCGGACCAAAGAUUUAUCGCCGAGGGAUGAGCCCGCGUAGGAUUAGGUAGUUGGUGGGGUAAUGGCCUACCAAGCCGACGAUCCUUAGCUGGUCUGAGAGGAUGAUCAGCCACACUGGGACUGAGACACGGCCCAGACUCCUACGGGAGGCAGCAGUGGGGAAUAUUGGACAAUGGGCGAAAGCCUGAACCAGCAAUGCCGCGUGAGUGAUGAAGGCCUUAGGGUAGUAAAGCUCUUUUACCCGGGAUGAUAAUGACAGUACCGGGAGAAUAAGCACCGGCUAACUACGUG